AAAAAUUUCAAUUGACCCCUUAAGAAGUUAUUGCCCUUUAAAGACUUUUUUCACAAUUUGUUCAUCAUGUUGACUUACUUUAAAAAAUCUUCUCGAACUGCUGUAUCAAUUUCAGCCAAACUUAGGCUAAAUGAGUUUCAGAGUAUCUAGUAUACAUUUUAUAUUUUAUUUCCUUGUAUGUCAAGAAACAUAGCUCCUAUGGCUAAAAUAGAACAUAGGAGAAAAUGAUUUUUUUUUUUU
RNAcentral lists this long non-coding RNA (240 nucleotides) under Mytilus galloprovincialis (Mediterranean mussel). The record is from RNAcentral. Lineage: Eukaryota; Metazoa; Mollusca; Bivalvia; Mytilida; Mytilidae.